AAGUAUGGACACAACAUUGAAGCUGGAUUCAGCUCUAAAUUUGGAUUGUGAUUAAAUAGUUGACACAGCAUAGGUUUCUGACACAGAAUGAAUGUGGUCUAAUGAACUUAAAAUAUUUUUUUUUGCCUUUGAGCAAUUCACUAUGCUGUUGAAUAUUAAUCCUCUCAAAAAAAUGUUUGAAGAAAUUCUCUUUUUAUUUAUGAAAUCUGAAAUAAGAAAAAUUUAACCCCCCCCCCAAUUUUUUUUUUCACAUCCCCCUUUCUCUUUUUCCAAAACUGAUCUCAAUUCAAAUUUCUAAUGGAGUUUGCAACAAUAACUACUCAUU
Molecule: long non-coding RNA, 325 nt
Filed under: Mytilus galloprovincialis (Mediterranean mussel)
Lineage: Eukaryota; Metazoa; Mollusca; Bivalvia; Mytilida; Mytilidae
Source: RNAcentral